ACCAAUUCACGCGGGAGCGCGCGCCGAGCGUGCUGAGAGGACGGCUGGGGCCGUCGACCGUCUGAACCUGACCGGGUAAUGCCGGCGUAGGGAGAUGACCAUGACCGUGA
This 110-nucleotide non-coding RNA is filed under the name Mycobacterium shinjukuense. RNAcentral describes it as "TPP sequence". It matches the Rfam family "TPP riboswitch aptamer (THI element)". Rfam says of the family: Vitamin B(1) in its active form thiamin pyrophosphate (TPP) is an essential coenzyme that is synthesised by coupling of pyrimidine and thiazole moieties in bacteria. The previously detected thiamin-regulatory element, thi box was extended, resulting in a new, highly conserved RNA secondary structure, the THI element, which is widely distributed in eubacteria and also occurs in some archaea. The record is from Rfam by way of RNAcentral. Lineage: Bacteria; Bacillati; Actinomycetota; Actinomycetes; Mycobacteriales; Mycobacteriaceae.